GCUCGCCACUGACGUGAGCCGUGGCCGGGAUCGAACUCGAGCUGGCGAGUUCGUAGCGCAGUGCAGGGGCCACCGCGCCACUGCUCCUCACUUCCAUGCUCGGUGAACCCUCGUCGCCGGAUGACAACGCGGGAAACACGUGGACUCCCACCUGUCCCGUCUGUGUGGGAUAGAGUGUGACCCCCUCGCACGAGUGUGUGUUCUCUGGGUGCUCUGGUUCCCUCUCACGUGCGAGCUCUCAUUCAGCGGCUGACAGCGUCUUACUACAGAGGGAACUGCAGAGCGGCAGUUAAAACGACUGUGCGAGUUUAUUAAAUGACACCACAGUUCGUCGGUCGUGUGAUAUGCGGUAAACUGCGGCUACCUCCAUCCCUUACAAGCAUUGAAGCGUAGCUCGAAUAUACCCCUCUCUAGAGCUCCCUCUAGUGCAGACCCUUCCACCAGCAGUUGAGUGAGCAAGCACUUGCAGAGCUGCGCCUUUACCUCUUAGCUCCUGGACAAGAAUGGCAGUGAAAUUGUCUACCUUCAUGAACACUGCCAUUUUAUUUCCUAGUUGGUUUGGCCAAAGAUGCUGACAACUGCAUGACCCCCGCACCGAGACGAGUGCCCCCUGCACGUUCGUCUCGCUGGCUCGCAGCCCUCGCGAGGCGCCAGGCGCCUGCACCACGUGCGGGCGGGUGGACGAGUGGAGGCCGUCUGCAGGCAGAGGGCGAAGCCGCCUGGUCUGGUGGGGGGCGACGUGGACGGAGAUCGUGCACGGGGAGAUGUGAGCACAGGGGUUCAGUGCAAUUGCAAGGGGAAUGACGUAACGAAAGUGACGGCGACAGUCGCCUCGCUGGAGCAGCGGUGACCUCGACCGCGACAUCCGAGCGCUGUGAGGAUCUCGCAGGAGCGGCAGAGACCGCGACACCACGAGACCUCGCGGGUCACGAGAACCACUCGUGGUGGUGGUGGCGACAGCGGAUGCUGAUGAUGAUGGGAUCCGCCAACAGUGCCACCUCCCCGCCUCGUUGUGAAUAGGGGUGGGGGGAGGGGGCUCCCUGGCCGACCUGGGCCCGGUAGCACUGCAGCCAUCGUCCCCCGGGACCCGGCGUCGCCCCUGGGUGCAUGGAGCGGGCGGCGUCUCAGACGAGAACAGAGGAGGAGGCUGCCGCCCGCAGCGUCGUCAUCUGAGUCGACAGUCACCGCAUUCACGGGGUUAUGAGACGCUCCGGAACAGUAAGACGCAGCCUAAAGCUGUGCUCGUCGUCAAUACACGCAUACAAAUGUGGUCACACACACACGCGCGCACGUACCGGAUUAUAAGACGCACCACUAACCGCUAAGCAAGAUACAGGAGGGAAGAGUUUGUCUUCUAAUCCGGAGUAUGCGGCACAGUGAUAGUCAUUCAUCUCAAGUGUAAACAAUCGCCAACGUAAUUGCAUCCUGCUGUGUACUCGCUGCGCUGUGUUCCUUUUGGAAAGACUGCGAGGGUUUUUCUUGUUAGGGGCCAGCCCCUGUCUGAGAGUGGCACUGGGGGGCCCUGCAGUCAACUUGGCCUCGGGGCCACCACCGCGUGAGCUGCGUGGCGGCUGUGCUCGCUGAAGCGAAGCCGUCCAACCGCGCCCCUUGGGUGUGAGGAGGAGUGACCUGGGCCUCCUCGCUCUGUCACUAAUAUCGCGAUAGGGAAAACUCGUACAGCGAUACAAUCAAAUAUCGCGAUAAGAAGAACUCGUGCAGCGAUAAAAUCAAAUAUCGCGAUAAGAAGAACUCGUGCAGCGAGCGCUAGAAUCGCGUCUCGUAGCCAAGUAACCAUUCACUCCGUGCCGAUUAAUAAUAGCCAUUUACUGUACUUUUGAGGCAUGAGCAAUUAACACUUACUACCCAGGAAUAGUUUAUUCUUUGUUACACAAUGUUCUCAUUCCUGCAGCAGUGCACUCAGAGGCGGCGUUGCUCGAGUUCCGCGCGUCGACUCUGGGGCCCCGUGUGGCCGCGCCGCGCUCUGCUGCUGGGGAGCGCUCUCGCCUGAAACAACGAAAGCUCCCCGUUUCGCAUUCCGUUACUUUCGGCUUUCGGGUGAGGCUGGGAUUUCCUCUGAGCGCAUCGCGCAGCUCCGCUGCUGGCAGUAGCGCGCGGGCCGUCAUCGUGCCACCAGCUGGUGUCACCUGUAGGUGUUGCUGGCACCCGUCCAGCACCACCGGACUUGCCACCCGCCCCAUGCGCCACCCACACGCGCAUCCAGCAGCCGCCUGCACCACGCGCACUGUCCGUCUCGUACCCAUCCAUCUCUCACUCUCAACGUCUUGACGCCCCCUCUCUCUCGACCCAUGAGCUAACGAGCAGGAUGAUAUCAUUAUGAUAAUGUAGGACAUGGAUCAGAAAUUAUACACCGUGACGACGUAAGGUUACAGAGGGACACACAGACAAAACUCCCAAAGUUAUCGAGAACACCAGAGUGUGCUGUUAACAGCACCACACACGGUCGCAUUUGUCCUCCUACUUGUAGUGUUUACACAUCUGCGACCAUGUCAUCCAUGGUAGGGAAUCGAACCCAGCCCCACCAGCACCCCGUGUACGCUGUCCCGCUGAGUCAUAUCAAGUGACGUCAAGAGACCACGCCCCUGCUAGACGUCGUAUAAAUACUCCUGGCUGUGGCCCCGCUCACUGAGAGACAGCAGCGUGGUCUUGCUGUGUGUCGUACAGACGCGCACUUGCGAGGUGCUGGUCAGCAGAGGCAGUAGGGACACGAAUCGUGUUUUACUUUUUAGAGCGAACCUCCAGCGCUGCCUGAUAUGGUGGCACAGCGUGUGAUGGAGGUGGUGGUGGCGUCGGUGGUGUUGGCGGUGGUGGCCGUCAAAGCUGCAUCUGGUAAGUUGUUCCAACGCGUCACCAUCCAACUACAAAGUCAUUCUCGCUGCCGGCUCUCUCUAUCCCUGCUCUGAUGA
Molecule: non-coding RNA, 2924 nt
Organism: Petromyzon marinus (sea lamprey)
Lineage: Eukaryota; Metazoa; Chordata; Hyperoartia; Petromyzontiformes; Petromyzontidae
Source: RefSeq, a predicted model, not a curated record